Molecule: unclassified non-coding RNA, 384 nt
Filed under: uncultured Phycisphaeraceae bacterium
Lineage: Bacteria; Pseudomonadati; Planctomycetota; Phycisphaerae; Phycisphaerales; Phycisphaeraceae
Description: contains 16S-23S intergenic spacer region
Source: RNAcentral
UCCGGUUUGACACCGGCAGUCUCGUUAGAGUCCUGGCUUGCGCCUUAGCAACUAACGACAGGGGUUUCGCUCGUUAAGGGACUUAACCCGACACUUCACAGCACGAGCUGACGACAGCCAUGCAGCACCUGUGCACGUUCCGCCCUUGCGGGUGUUGAUCCUGUUUCCAGGAACUAAUCCGUGCAUGUCAAGCCUUGGAUAAGGUUCUUCGCGUUGCUUCGAAUUGAGCCACAUGCUCCACCGCUUGUGUGAGCCCCCGUCAAUUCCUUUGAGUUUUAGCCUUGCGACCGUACUCCCCAGGCGGUACACUUAACACUUUAGCUUCGACCAUGAUGGCGUCAGAGCCUCCACGAUCUAGUGUACAUCGUUUAGGGCGUGGACUAC